UUAUUAAAGUUAUUUACUCAUGCUGUAUUCAAUUUAUGCUCUCUAGCCCUGCCCUCUGUUGAAACAUCUAGAAAUAACUUAGAUUCCACUGUCACUAAUUUUAGGAACAUAAGUCAGAUUACCUCUUUGUCUGGGUGUUUCAAAUCAUUACUUUUAUAAGAAUAAUUAUCAUGUUUCUGGCUGAAUACAAAAACCAUCAGUUAUAAAAUUCAUUCAGUAAACAUUUACUGAGACUCUACUAUAUGCCAGGCAUGGGGAUCAAAGAAAAAGAUGAGGCUUAUGCUGUUUCUAUUUUACUUUUCUGGGACAUAGAAACAGUUGCCCAUUAUUUUCUGUUAGAGUCUUCACAUUUUUUAAGAACUCUUUAGAUAUUAGAGUGUAACCCCAGUGAUACGAGUUGCAAAUAUUUUUUCUCAUUUUAUCACUUCUGUUGGCAUCUAUUUUUUAGUGUUAUUUUGAUUGCAUUGAAGAGGAUAGAUAUCAUUGUGGUUUUCAAGGUUCCUAAUAACUUAGUAUGCUUUUCAUUUGCACAAGUACUUUUGCUUCAGUGUUAAUUGAUAGUGAGAAUGGAAGGCAUCCGUCAUUGUUCCUUUAGUUCUCUGUGGUGCUUUCUGAUUCAAGCAUGAGAUACCUAUCAUUUAUCAUGUCAAGAAAAUAUCCUUCAUUUCCAGUUUUACUGUAUUUUAGCAAGAUGUUGAAUUUUGUCAUGUAUGUCAGCAUCUGUGGAGAUGAUUGUGUGGUAUUUCUCUUUAGGUCUACUGAUUUGAGUAAUCAUAAUAAAAUUUCCCAAUAUUGAACAAUUCUGACUUUCUAAAAUAAACUACUCUGCCAGGAAGUAUUUUCUUAAGAUGGAUUCUGUUUGCAGGGCACUUGGGUGGCUCAGUCGGUUAAGUGUUGGGCUCUGCACUGACAGCAUGGGACCUGCUGUAGGUUCGCUGUCUCCCUCUCUCGCUGCCCCUCCUCUGCUCGCACUCUCUCUCAAAAGCUAAUAUAUAAACAGAAAAAAAAAGAUGGAUUCUAUUUGCUAAUUUUUUUUAAGUUUUUGAAUUUAUUUUGAGUGAGAGGGUGAGAGAGAGCAGGGGAGGGAGAGAGAGAGAGUACCAAGAGGCUCCAUGCUGUCAGUGCAGAGCCCCAUGUAGGGCUAGAACUCACGAACUGUGAGAUCAUAACCUGAGCUGAGAUCAAGAGUUGGAUGCUUAACCGACUGAGCCACCCAGGGCUCCCAAUUUGCUAAUUUUUAAAAUUUUGUUUUAAUAUUCAUAAAUGAGAUGGUAUAUAGUUUUCCUUUUUAGUAGUAAUUUUGGUUGGGCUUUGGAGUCUGUUUAAAAGGAAUUUGGAACUUUGCCGUGUUUUUCAGUGGUUGGGAACAGUUUUAGCUUUAGCUUUUCGAAAUUAUUUACAUAGAGUUGAGCCAAGUGGUAUUCAUUGGUUCCUUUUAAUUUUCUUGGUUUCUGUGGUUAUAUUCUUGUUUUUUUAAAUUUUUAGUAGCUGUCCUUUGCUUAUGCUUUUGAACUUUUAUCUACAGUAGUUGUUGUUUUUUUAAUCAAACAUUUUAAAGGAUUUUUGACCUAAUUAUUUACUGUAAAGAAAUUGGAUUUAUUUUUGAAUUUGCUUGCAAUCAUAUAGACCUUGCAGAGUGUAAAUGAGUCUUUCAAAGAAGUCAGUUCGCUCAGAAUUUUCUAUAAUUUUAUCAACUUGUAAUACAUUGUUUCAAAAGUCAACUAGUUUCAUAAGUCUUAAUAAAAUAAUGACCCCUGCCAUACUCCCUAAAGUUACCAGCUAAAAUAUCAGAGCUAUUUCUUCUAAUGUUUACAUCCCUAUUUCUAAAUGGCAUGUUUAUAGUACCUAUAACUUCUUUCCAUGGAAGAAUAUUCAGCUUCUUAAACCAACCUAGUCACAUGCAUGUACCUCCCUUCUCCAGUGUGGCUAAAUCAGUAUUCAGUGUUUAUAUUUUUAUAAAUAUAAAACUAUUGUUUACAAGUUGUAUUAGUUAUCUGUUGCUAUGUAACAAAUUAGUCCAACAUUUAGUGGCUUAAAACAACAUUUAUUGUCUCAUAGUUUCUCUGAGUUAAGAAUCUGGGCAUGGCUUAGCUGGGUCCACUAGCUCAGGGUCUCCAGGCUGCAAUUAAGGUGUUUGCCAAGGCUGCAAUCAAAGCCUGACUGGGUUAGGAUCUGCCUACAAGCUUAUUCACAUAGUUACUCCCUGGAUUCAGAUCCUUGUAAGUUGUUAGACUGAAGACCUCAGCACCUUGCUUGCUGCUCAGUGACUUCCCCAGUUCCUAAUCAUACAUUCCUCUUUAUCUAGUUUCUCAUGGCAGCUUGCUUCAUCAGAAUGAUCCAGCAAGAACCAGAGAGAGCGUGAGAAAAAGCAAGACAGAAGUCAUGAUAUUUUGUAACCUAGUCUAAUAAUAUCCAUCAUUUUUGCCGUAUUUUAGUAAUUAGAAAUGAGCUCUAGAUGUAGUGAUCUCACACUUAAGGGGAACUACACAAGGGUAUGAAAACCAGGAGACAAGGUCAUUUGCUAUCUUAGAAGUCUUUUCCAACACAGAUGAACCAGUUAAUAUGCUGUAAUAAUGUUCCCUUUUGUAAAUGCAACUCUUGGAUAACUCUGGAAUUAAUCCUUAGCUGUUUUUGUUCCUUUUUUUGUGUAUGUGCACUUUUCAUAAUCCAUUCCUAAACCCUUUGCUACAGUUUCACAGCUUCUUCCUGUGUGGGUAGGUGCAUCAGGCUAUCUUCAGUCCCAGUGUCACCUCCCUGGAGACAGUGCUCCCACUCUCCUCUGGGUGCUUUGUUUUGCAAGUCCGCUGAAAGGUGUCGUCCUGGGGCUUCCUUUUAACCAGCGUCUUGGAGAUGUUCUUUGGCUUUCUCCUUCUGAUGAGUCUCCUAUAUCUUGGCUCUUGUAUAUUUUUCCACUAUCCUUGUUUAUUUUCUCAUUUUGAAUGAACACUUUGUAGCUUCCUGAGAAGAAUCAUGUGGCCAAGUAUAGAAUUGUAGGUCAUAAAUCGUUUUUCUUCAGAAUGCGUAAGGUAUUAUUGUAUUCAUUGUCUUCUAGCCUCCAAUAUUGAGAAGUCUGCUAUUGUUCUUAUAUCUAGUCCUUUGUGUGUUUUUCUCUGUGAAUGCUCUUAAAACAUCCUUUGUUUACCCAGUAUUCUAAAAUAAUUUUGUAAUAUGUGUAUUAAUUCAUCUUUUUAAAUUUAUUGUGCCUGGAUAAUCCGUGAGCCCUUUAAGGAACUUGAGUUCUUUAGUUCUGGGAAAUUAUUUUUAAUUUUAAUUCUGGUGUAGUUAACACACAGUACUAUAUUAGUUUCAGGUGUACAAUAGCAUGAUUUAUCAGUUCCAUACAUUACUAAGUGCUCACUAAGACAAGUGCACUCCUAAUCUUCACCUAUUUCACACAUCCUCCUCAACCCACUUUCCCUCCGGUAAACCAUCUUUUCUCUAUAGCUAAGAAUCUGUUUUUUUGAUUUCUCAUUUUUCCCCCCUUUGUUUGUUGUUUCUCAAAUUCCACAUAUGAGUGAAAUCAUGUGAUAUUUGUCUUUCUCUGGCUUAUUUCACUUAGUAUUGUACUCUGUAAACCCAUAUAUGUUGGAAAUAGUGAGACUUUAUUCUUUUUAAUGGCUGGAUAAUACUCCAUUUGUGUAUGUGUGUGGGUGUGUACACCAUAUCUUCUUUACCCACUUAUCUAUCAGUGGACACUUGGGCUGCUUCCAUAGUUUGGUUGUUGUAAAUAAUUCUACAGUAAACAUAAGGAUGCAUGUAUCUUUUUGAAUUAGCGUUUUCAUAUUCUUUGGGUAAGUACCCAGUGCUGCAAUUACUAGAUCAUAGAGUGAUUGUAGGAUUGUUCUAUUCUUAAUUUUUUGACAAACUUCUAUACUGUCUUUUUAUUUUUUUUUAAAUGUUUCUUUAUUUUUGAGAGAGAGAGAGACAGAGCAUGAGCGGGCAGGGAUAGAGAGAGAGGAAGACACAGAAUCCAAAGCAGGCUCUAGGCUCUGAGCUCUCAGUACAGAGCCCGACAUGGGCUUGAAACCACAAACCAGGAGAUCAUGACCUGAGCCAAAGUCGGAUCCUUAACCAACCGAGCCUCCCAGGCGCCCUUUUUAUACUGUCUUCUACAGUGGCUGCACCAGUUUGCAUUACCACCAACAGUGCACAAAGGUUCCUUUUUCUCCACAUCUUUGCCCACACUUGUUGUUUCUUGAGUUUUUCUUUUUUUUUUUUUUUUUUAAUGUUUCUUUAUUUUUGAGAGAGAGAGAGCAGGGGAGGGGCAGAGAGAAGAGGGAGACACAGAAUCCAAAAUAGGCUCUAGGCUGUCAGCACAGAGCCUGAUGCAGGACCCAAACCCACAAACCGUGAGAUCAUGACCUGAACUGAAGUCUGAUGCUUAACGGACUGAGACACCAGGGUGCCCUUCUUGAGUUUUUGAUUUUAGCCAUUCUGAUGGGUGUGAGGUGAUAUCUCAUUGUAGUUUUGAUUUGCAUUUCCCUGAGUGAUGUUGAACAUCUUUUCAUGUGUUGGCCAUCUGUAUGUCUUCUUUAGAUAAAUGUUUGUUCAAGUCUUCUGCUCAUUUUUAAUUGAGUUAUUUGGAUUUUUUUGGUAUUGAGUUGUGUAAAUUCUUCAUAUAUUUUGGAUACUAACCCUUUAUCAUAUAUGUCAUUUGUAAAUAUCUUCUGCCAUUCUGUAGGUUACCUUUUAGUUUUGUUGGUUGUUUCCCUCAGUGUGGAGAAGGUUUUUAUUUUGAUGUAGUCCCAAUAGUUUAUUUUUGUAUUUGUUUCCCUUGUCUCAGGAGACAUAUUUAGAAGGAUGUUGUUAUGACCAGUUUCAGAGAAAUUACUGCCUCUGUUUUCUUCUAGGAGUUUUAUGGUUUCGAGUCUCACAUUUAGGUCCUUAAUUCACUCUGAGUUUAUUUUUAUGUAUGAUAUAAGAAGGUAGGCCACUUUCAUUCUUUCCCAUGUAGCUAUCCAGUUUUCCCAACAUCAUUUGUUGAAGAGACUGUUUUUCCAUUGCAUAUUCUCGCCUCCUUUGUUAAAAAUUAAUUUACCUUAUAUUUGUGGGUGUUUUUUCUGGGCUUUCUAUUCUGUUCCAUUGAUCUCUGUGUCUUUUUUUUUUUUUUCCAAUACCAUACUGUUUUGAUUACUACAGCUUUGUAAUAUAACUUGAGAUAUGGAAUUGUGAUAACUCUAAUUUUGUUUUUCUUUUUCAAGAUUGCUUUGGCUACUCAGGGUCUUUUGUGGUUCCAUGCAAAUUUUAGGAUUGUUUAUUCUAGUUCUGUGGAAAAUGCUGUUGGUAUUUUGAUAGGGAGUCAUAUUUAAAAAAAAUUUUUUUAAAGUUUAUUUAUUUGAGAGAGAGAGAGAGAGAGAGGACAAGAGAAAGCACAGGAGGGGCAGAGAGAGAGGGAGAGAGAGAGAAUCCCAAGCAGGCUCCACACUGUUGGUGCAGAGCCCCACAUGGGGCUUGAUGUCAAAAACCAUGAGUUCGUGACCUGAGCCAAAAUCAAGAGUCAGACAUUUUAACCAACUGAGCCACCCAGAAGCCCUGAUAGGGAUCACAUUUAAUCUGUAGAUUGCUUUGGGUAAUAUGGUCAUUUUAACAAUAUUUGUUCGUGCAAUCCAUGAGCGUGGAUUUCCAUUUCUUUGUGUCAUCUUCAGUUUCUUUCAUCAGUGUUUUAUAUUUUUCAGAGAACAAGUCUUUAACUUCUUUGGUUAAGUUUAUUCUUAGGUAUUUUGUGAUUUUUUUAGUACAGUUGUAAAUGGGAUUGUUAUCUUAAUUCCUCUUUCUGCUACUUAAAUAAGUGUAUAGAAAUGCAGUGGAUUUCUGUACGUUCAUUUUAUAUCCCACAACAUUACUGAAUUCAUUUACGAAGUUCUAGCGGUUUUUUUGGUAUAAUUUUUUGGGGUUUUUUAUAUAUAGUAUCAUGUCAUCUGCAAACAAUGAAAGUUUUACUUCUUCCUUACCAAUCUGGAUGCCUUUUGUUUCUUUUUGUUGUCUGAUUGCUGUGGCUAAAGCUUCCAGUAUUAUGUUGAAUGAAACUGGCAAGAGCAGACAUGCUUGUCUUCUUGACCUUAGGGAGAAAGCUCUCAGUUUUUCCCCACUGAGUAUGACGUUAGCUGUGAGUUUUUCAUAUAAAGCCUUUAUGUUUCCUCUAAACCUACUUUGUUGAGGGGUUUUGUUUUGUUUUGUUUUGUUGUUUUAGUUUAUUUUGAGAGGGUGGGGGGAGGGGGAGAGAGAGGAUCCGGAGUGGGCUCUGUGCUGACAGCGGAGAGUCUGAUGUGGAGCUUGAACUCAUGAAUCAUGAAAUCAUGACCUGACCUAAAGUCGGGGCUUAACCAACUGAGCCACCCAGGUGCCCCGAGGGUGUGUGUGUGUGUGUGUGUGUUUUAUUUAUUUUGAGAGAGACGGAGAGAGCACAGUCAGGGGAGGGGCAGAGAGAGGGAGAGAAAGAAUCCCAUGCAGACUCCAUGCUGUCUUUGCAGAGCCCAGUGCAGGGCUCCAUCUCAUGAACCAUGUGAUCAUGACCUGAGCUGAAAUCAAGAGCCACUGACUGAGUCACACAGGUGCUGCUCCUUUCAGCACGUGAAAUAGGUCAUUCCACUCCCUUUUGGUCUGCAAAGUUUCUGCUGAAAAAGCCACUGAUAGGUUUAUGGGGUUUCCUUUGUAUGUAACUUUCUUCUUUGCUCAUGAUACUUUAAAAAUUCUCUCUUUAUCACUACUUUUUGCCAUUUAAAUUACUGUGUGUAUUCAUGUACCUCCUUGGGUUGAUUUUGUUGGGGGAUCUCUGUUCCACCUGAAUCUGGAUAUCUGUCUUCUUUCCACAGAUUAGGGAAGUUUUCCACUAUUUUUUCUUCAAAUAAAUUUUCUGCCCCUUUUUCUCCUCUUCUUCUGGGAUCCCUAUGAUGUGAAUGCUGUUGUGCUUGAUGGAGUUGCUAAGUUCCCUAAGUCUAUUCUCAUUUUGCAGAAUUAUUUUUCUCUCAUCAGUUGAGCUUGAUUACUUUCCAUCACUAUUUUCCAGAUUGCUAAUUUGUUCCUUUGCUUACUUUAGCCAUCUAGUAUAUUUUUUAUGCCAUUUAUUGUGUUCUUCAUAUCUGAUUGGUUCUUUUUUAUCUCUUUGUUAAGGGUCUCACUGAUGUCCUUUGCUGUUUUUUCAAGACAAGUGACUAUCUUUAUGAUCAUUAUUUUUAAUUCUCUUUUAAGAAUAUUACUUCCAUCUGUUUUGUGUAGAUCUC
Long non-coding RNA from Panthera uncia (snow leopard), 7220 nucleotides. RefSeq lists it as uncharacterized. The transcript is spliced from 2 exons. The record is from RefSeq and is a predicted model, not a curated record. NCBI's taxonomy places the organism in Eukaryota, Metazoa, Chordata, Mammalia, Carnivora, Felidae.